UCAAUUCGAUGUUAACACUCAAAUCUUAGUCAUAUCAACAAUAGUUGCUUACCUCAUAAUAGUAGGCAUGAAGAUUCCUAUCUUUGUGAAUGGAAAGCACUGAAAAGUAAGGAACGAUGGGCAUUUGAGUCAUUUGACCACAGCCAUGCUGGAGCACCACCUUUAGUUGAACAAAUCAACCCCCAGUACGAUGAC
Long non-coding RNA from Octopus bimaculoides (California two-spot octopus), 195 nucleotides. The record is from RefSeq and is a predicted model, not a curated record. NCBI's taxonomy places the organism in Eukaryota, Metazoa, Mollusca, Cephalopoda, Octopoda, Octopodidae.